Molecule: ribosomal RNA, 468 nt
Filed under: uncultured bacterium
Lineage: Bacteria
Description: partial 16S ribosomal RNA
Rfam family: Bacterial small subunit ribosomal RNA
Source: RNAcentral
GACGAACGCUGGCGGCGUGCUUAACACAUGCAAGUCGAACGGAAAGGCCCUGCUUUUGUGGGGUGCUCGAGUGGCGAACGGGUGUGUAACACGUGAGUAACCUGCCCUUGACUUUGGGAUAACUUCAGGAAACUGGGGCUAAUACCGGAUAGGAGCUCCUGCUGCAUGGGGGGGGUUGGAAAGUUUCGGCGGUGGGGGAUGGACUCGCGGCUUAUCAGCUUGUUGGUGGGGUAGUGGCUUACCAAGGCUUUGACGGGUAGCCGGCCUGAGAGGGUGGCCGGCCACCUUGGGCCUGCGAUACGGCCCAGACUCCUACGGGCGGCAGCAGUGGGGAAUAUUGCGCAAUGGGCGGAAGCCUGAUGCAGCAACGCCGCGUGCGGGAUGCCGGCCUUCGGGUUGUAAACCGCUUUCGCCUGUGACGAAGCGUGAGUGACGGUAAUGGGUAAAGAAGCACCGGCUAACUACGUG